This 1923-nucleotide ribosomal RNA is filed under the name Salmonella enterica subsp. enterica serovar Typhimurium. Its description in RNAcentral is "bacterial LSU rRNA". It matches the Rfam family "Bacterial large subunit ribosomal RNA", at positions 330 to 2155 of the family's 2925-position model. The record is from RNAcentral. Lineage: Bacteria; Pseudomonadati; Pseudomonadota; Gammaproteobacteria; Enterobacterales; Enterobacteriaceae.
UAGUGGAAGCGUCUGGAAAGGUGCGCGAUACAGGGUGACAGCCCCGUACACAAAAGCGCAUGUGCUGUGAGCUCGAUGAGUAGGGCGGGACACGUGGUAUCCUGUCUGAAUAUGGGGGGACCAUCCUCCAAGGCUAAAUACUCCUGACUGACCGAUAGUGAACCAGUACCGUGAGGGAAAGGCGAAAAGAACCCCGGCGAGGGGAGUGAAAAAGAACCUGAAACCGUGUACGUACAAGCAGUGGGAGCACCCUUCGGGGUGUGACUGCGUACCUUUUGUAUAAUGGGUCAGCGACUUAUAUUCUGUAGCAAGGUUAACCGUAUAGGGGAGCCGGAGGGAAACCGAGUCUUAACCGGGCGUUAAGUUGCAGGGUAUAGACCCGAAACCCGGUGAUCUAGCCAUGGGCAGGUUGAAGGUUGGGUAACACUAACUGGAGGACCGAACCGACUAAUGUUGAAAAAUUAGCGGAUGACCUGUGGCUGGGGGUGAAAGGCCAAUCAAACCGGGAGAUAGCUGGUUCUCCCCGAAAGCUAUUUAGGUAGCGUCUCGUGAAUUCAUCUCCGGGGGUAGAGCACUGUUUCGGCUAGGGGGCCAUCCCGGCUUACCAACCCGAUGCAAACUGCGAAUACCGGAGAAUGUUAUCACGGGAGACACACGGCGGGUGCUAACGUCCGUCGUGAAGAGGGAAACAACCCAGACCGCCAGCUAAGGUCCCAAAGUCAUGGUUAAGUGGGAAACGAUGUGGGAAGGCCCAGACAGCCAGGAUGUUGGCUUAGAAGCAGCCAUCAUUUAAAGAAAGCGUAAUAGCUCACUGGUCGAGUCGGCCUGCGCGGAAGAUGUAACGGGGCUAAACCAUGCACCGAAGCUGCGGCAGCGAACGUAUCACCCAAGACAACUUUACGGAGUUGACGAUUGACGGAGCGAAGCGACGUCAAAGCGUUCAUUAAAGUCGAGUUGGCUUAGGGAUACGUUCGUUGGGUAGGGGAGCGUUCUGUAAGCCUGUGAAGGUGUGUCGUGAGGCAUGCUGGAGGUAUCAGAAGUGCGAAUGCUGACAUAAGUAACGAUAAAGCGGGUGAAAAGCCCGCUCGCCGGAAGACCAAGGGUUCCUGUCCAACGUUAAUCGGGGCAGGGUGAGUCGACCCCUAAGGCGAGGCCGAAAGGCGUAGUCGAUGGGAAACGGGUUAAUAUUCCCGUACUUGGUGUUACUGCGAAGGGGGGACGGAGAAGGCUAUGUUGGCCGGGCGACGGUUGUCCCGGUUUAAGCGUGUAGGUGUGUGUUCCAGGUAAAUCCGGUUCACUUUAACACUGAGGCGUGAUGACGAGGCACUACGGUGCUGAAGCAACAAAUGCCCUGCUUCCAGGAAAAGCCUCUAAGCAUCAGGUAACAUCAAAUCGUACCCCAAACCGACACAGGUGGUCAGGUAGAGAAUACCAAGGCGCUUGAGAGAACUCGGGUGAAGGAACUAGGCAAAAUGGUGCCGUAACUUCGGGAGAAGGCACGCUGACACGUAGGUGAAGUGAUUUACUCACGGAGCUGAAGUCAGUCGAAGAUACCAGCUGGCUGCAACUGUUUAUUAAAAACACAGCACUGUGCAAACACGAAAGUGGACGUAUACGGUGUGACGCCUGCCCGGUGCCGGAAGGUUAAUUGAUGGGGUCAGCGCAAGCGAAGCUCCUGAUCGAAGCCCCGGUAAACGGCGGCCGUAACUAUAACGGUCCUAAGGUAGCGAAAUUCCUUGUCGGGUAAGUUCCGACCUGCACGAAUGGCGUAAUGAUGGCCAGGCUGUCUCCACCCGAGACUCAGUGAAAUUGAACUCGCUGUGAAGAUGCAGUGUACCCGCGGCAAGACGGAAAGACCCCGUGAACCUUUACUAUAGCUUGACACUGAACAUUGAGCCUUGAUGUGUAGGAUAGGUGGGAGGC